CCACACCAAAAAACUUUCCACGUGAACCGUUGUAAUUUUGUUUUGUGCCUUCUUUCGGGAGGGCUAAACGAAGGUUGUCCGCAAGUGUAGUUAAUUCUGUACGCGUGGUCUUCCGAUGUCUUUUUAAACCCAUUACUUAAUACUGAUCUAUACUCCGAGAACGAAAGUUUUUGGUUUUAAUCCAUA
Molecule: unclassified non-coding RNA, 186 nt
Filed under: Pythium arrhenomanes
Lineage: Eukaryota; Oomycota; Peronosporomycetes; Pythiales; Pythiaceae
Description: ITS1
Source: RNAcentral